ACUCGUACCAGCUUCGUCCAGGACCAGCGCUGUCUCGGACCCGCGCCACCUGUGCCUCCCCAGUGCCCUGCCGGGCCCACGCGCCAAGGUUGGGGGUCUCGGCGCCGCGUGUGACCUGGCGGCAGUGAUACGCUUGACUUCGUAUUGUCACCAACACACCUCACCAGCACCCGGGCAGAUUGCUGAUCCCUCAAACUUUGCAAACGAGCGUGAGCAACGCACUCUCCGCAUCCCCCCAUUUUCCUCAUCUGCAUGGAGGCGGGCUUUUGAAUCGGCGAUGGCAAAGCAUUUAACUACCGGACUCUGCUAAGUUUUUACAACUCAACGGCGACUGUAUCAAAUGGGGCCGUCCGCACUUAACAGGCAAUCCACUGAGACUGAAAUUCCAAGACCUCUUGACAAACUGCCGGGUAACACGCGAGCGCGAGCAAUAGAUUUAGAGAAGCAGUAAGUAACCUGGGCCUGGUAGGCUGGACAGCGAUAGAAGGCUGGCCCGGGAGCCGGGAAACCUGGGUUAAACCGGAUUCAAUCUGGGCUUCGUCCCAUCGCCAUGUGACCCUGGGCAGGUCACAGCACCGCUCUGUGCCUCGGAUUCCUCCUUCGCAAAGGGUGAAGAUUGAGUAGGGGUAGGGGACCCACAUUUCUUUGUUGCUUACUCUCACAAAACCGAUUUCUUCUAAAUCUCCGAAUAUCUAGAAAUGGGUUAUUAUUAACCCCAUUUUACAGAAGACGGAAUGAGGCUCGAAGAAUCCGGUAUUAGAACCGGAGCCAAGAUGAGCUGCAAAGUAGCCCAGCCAGGAAUCCCCCUCGGAGACCUCGGAGCCUGUCUUCCUCACAGUAAAUGAGGGACUCGCGCUCCAUUUCUGGUUUUCUUCUUGCCAUAGGAUGCCUUUGAGAUUUGUCACUAUACCUCAGUUUCUUCAACUGAAAAUAAGAAUGAUGUCACCAUCCUGCUCAUUUACAGACUCUUAGCUCAAGUGCUAUCUGCGAAAAGCUAGGUAGAGUCCACACCCAGAGCGGAGCAGCUCACAUUUCCUGCCACCCCCCCACAGGAAAAUUCUGUGAGACUGAGAAGACCUUGGGGGAUCCUCGGGGUAACCAAAGGCCAGUGCAGUGGUGGCCAGUGCAGUGACAGCCGUCUGGGCCUGCAGGAGAAGUUAUCCCCUAUUGGAGCUGGGGGAGGCGUCUUCCAAGGGUGACCAGGGCAACUGCAAGGUGGAGCUGGAGCCUUGAGAUGUCUGUGAACCUGUGGGGCCCUGCUGAGACUCACCUGCCGUCCUGAGAAGCAAGGCUAGAGGCCACAGGAGGCGGCGCUGUGGCGCUGUCCUGACCGGCUCAGCCACCGUCCACACUGACAGCACACCUAAUGGUAUCUGGCCUCCUCACUGGCCUCCUUGUCAGAUGGACAAACAAAUUCCUCUCCACUGUAGAAGGGAGAAAAUUAUACCCGCGCCAUGGGUUAUCUCAGGGAGUGACGUACAAGUCCUUGCCUGGCACUGGGGGAGUGAUAUAAACAGAAGGUAGUUUAUAGUGAGGCUGAAUUCUUCCAGGGCAAGCCCCAGCUUGCAGCCCCAGGGCCCAGGAAGACAUUUAUGGGGCUGAAGUAGGGCUCAGGUCCCUCCGGUGAGUUCAGGGCCAGCACUGUGCCCACCUAGAGGUGCCUUCCUGGAGGCAGAGGCCCAGGCUGCCGGCCCGCUGAACCCCAAGAAAUCCAAGUACUGAGCCCACAGGUAAAUGUCAAGUCCAAUCUUUGAUUGGGCCCAGGAGGCUGGGAGGAGUGGGAGAGGACUUUAUUGGGACAACUGGAGAAAAUUGAAUAAAGGUUGAUAUUACUUUA
Molecule: long non-coding RNA, 1837 nt
Filed under: Sus scrofa (pig)
Lineage: Eukaryota; Metazoa; Chordata; Mammalia; Artiodactyla; Suidae
Description: lncRNA (ENSSSCG00030062099.1)
Source: RNAcentral